RNAcentral lists this ribosomal RNA (253 nucleotides) under uncultured bacterium. RNAcentral's name for it is "partial 16S ribosomal RNA". It matches the Rfam family "Bacterial small subunit ribosomal RNA", at positions 524 to 776 of the family's 1533-position model. The record is from RNAcentral.
UACGUAGGGUGCAAGCGUUGUCCGGAAUUAUUGGGCGUAAAGAGCUCGUAGGCGGCCUGUCGCGUCCGCUGUGAAAACCCGGGGCUCAACCCCGGGCUUGCAGUGGAUACGGGCAGGCUAGAGGCAGGCAGGGGAGAACGGAAUUCCCGGUGUAGCGGUGAAAUGCGCAGAUAUCGGGAGGAACACCGGUGGCGAAGGCGGUUCUCUGGGCCUGUACUGACGCUGAGGAGCGAAAGCGUGGGGAGCGAACAGG